AAGUGCUGGAUAUCUAUAAACAAGUAAUGUCUGAUGAUGUCUUUCAAUAAGUCUUUUAGGCAUGAAUGAGAUCCAACCAUAAUGACUGUUUUUUUUUUUUCAGGAUUCACUUGCAAUCCACUAUUACUUAUUAUCAUCGUAGGACUGAUUUGUCUGUAUGUGCUGACUGUUGGAUUCUGUAUCCACAAAAUUAAAAGGUUGUCUGGAAGACUGAAGGGAGAGAGGGAUGGGGACACAUAUGCCAGUCUGCAGCUCCCCAACAUCAGCCCUGAAUAUGACGUGCUGCAGGUAAAAAACAGGUAUCAGAAAGACACAGGGACUACACAAGAUGAGAACGAUGAUUACCAGAACCCUGAAGAUGGAAACAGACCAGAUUCAGGGGCUAAUUAAAAAUGUGAGCAUGUUGUGUUUCUUUUAAAGCUGAUUAUUUUUGUUUUAAAAACAAACAAAAAAAAUCACUGAAUGUUGAGGGUAAUUUUUAUCUAU
Molecule: long non-coding RNA, 486 nt
Organism: Anguilla rostrata (American eel)
Lineage: Eukaryota; Metazoa; Chordata; Actinopteri; Anguilliformes; Anguillidae
Exons: 4
Source: RefSeq, a predicted model, not a curated record